AGAUUAAGUUAUUAAGGGCGCACGGUGGAUGCCUUGGCACUAGAAGCCGAUGAAGGACGUUACUAACGACGAUAUGCUUUGGGGAGCUGUAAGUAAGCUUUGAUCCAGAGAUUUCCGAAUGGGGAAACCCAGCAUGAGUUAUGUCAUGUUAUCGAUAUGUGAAUACAUAGCAUAUCAGAAGGCACACCCGGAGAACUGAAACAUCUUAGUACCCGGAGGAAGAGAAAGAAAAUUCGAUUCCCUUAGUAGCGGCGAGCGAAACGGGAAGAGCCCAAACCAACAAGCUUGCUUGUUGGGGUUGUAGGACACUCUAUACGGAGUUACAAAGGACGACAUUAGACGAAUCAUCUGGAAAGAUGAAUCAAAGAAGGUAAUAAUCCUGUAGUCGAAAAUGUUGUCUCUCUUGAGUGGAUCCUGAGUACGACGGAGCACGUGAAAUUCCGUCGGAAUCUGGGAGGACCAUCUCCUAAGGCUAAAUACUCUCUAGUGACCGAUAGUGAACCAGUACCGUGAGGGAAAGGUGAAAAGCACCCCGGAAGGGGAGUGAAAUAGAACCUGAAACCGUGUGCUUACAAGUAGUCAGAGCCCGUUAAUGGGUGAUGGCGUGCCUUUUGUAGAAUGAACCGGCGAGUUACGAUUUGAUGCAAGGUUAAGCAGUAAAUGUGGAGCCGUAGCGAAAGCGAGUCUGAAUAGGGCGUUUAGUAUUUGGUCGUAGACCCGAAACCAGGUGAUCUACCCUUGGUCAGGUUGAAGUUCAGGUAACACUGAAUGGAGGACCGAACCGACUUACGUUGAAAAGUGAGCGGAUGAACUGAGGGUAGCGGAGAAAUUCCAAUCGAACCUGGAGAUAGCUGGUUCUCUCCGAAAUAGCUUUAGGGCUAGCCUCAAGUGAUGAUUAUUGGAGGUAGAGCACUGUUUGGACGAGGGGCCCCUCUCGGGUUACCGAAUUCAGACAAACUCCGAAUGCCAAUUAAUUUAACUUGGGAGUCAGAACAUGGGUGAUAAGGUCCGUGUUCGAAAGGGAAACAGCCCAGACCACCAGCUAAGGUCCCAAAAUAUAUGUUAAGUGGAAAAGGAUGUGGCGUUGCCCAGACAACUAGGAUGUUGGCUUAGAAGCAGCCAUCAUUUAAAGAGUGCGUAAUAGCUCACUAGUCGAGUGACACUGCGCCGAAAAUGUACCGGGGCUAAACAUAUUACCGAAGCUGUGGAUUGUCCUUUGGACAAUGGUAGGAGAGCGUUCUAAGGGCGUUGAAGCAUGAUCGUAAGGACAUGUGGAGCGCUUAGAAGUGAGAAUGCCGGUGUGAGUAGCGAAAGACGGGUGAGAAUCCCGUCCACCGAUUGACUAAGGUUUCCAGAGGAAGGCUCGUCCGCUCUGGGUUAGUCGGGUCCUAAGCUGAGGCCGACAGGCGUAGGCGAUGGAUAACAGGUUGAUAUUCCUGUACCACCUAUAAUCGUUUUAAUCGA
This 1464-nucleotide ribosomal RNA is filed under the name Staphylococcus aureus. RNAcentral's name for it is "bacterial LSU rRNA". It matches the Rfam family "Bacterial large subunit ribosomal RNA", at positions 1 to 1464 of the family's 2925-position model. Lineage: Bacteria; Bacillati; Bacillota; Bacilli; Caryophanales; Staphylococcaceae. The record is from RNAcentral.